RNA transcript from Zea mays, 4528 nucleotides. It is a transcript of the gene named protein indeterminate-domain 7, with no coding region annotated. NCBI's taxonomy places the organism in Eukaryota, Viridiplantae, Streptophyta, Magnoliopsida, Poales, Poaceae. The record is from RefSeq and is a predicted model, not a curated record. The transcript has 2 exons.
GAUCCUGUUAAGUUGUUUGGUGCACAUGCAUAGCUGUCUGAGGUCUUUGAGACAAGGACAGGUGCAUGUGGGCCCGAUAACUUGGGAGGUUCUGCGACAGCUGGCAUCGGAGCUUGAUUAAGUAUGAUACGGUCACAUACGUAUUUUUAAAACAAAAUUUUGGUUUUGAAAAAUCUAUUUUCAACUAAACACAUUGUUUGGUUUUGAAAAACAUAUUUGAAAAACUAUAAUGCUAGCGACAUCCUCUGUUAAGCCCUAAAUUAAGGACUAUUAGGUGGCUUAGUUCAGAAUACUAACCCACAAUCUGGGAAGGGUAAUGCAUACAUGUGUAAUGUUAUUUUUGAGGUCAUUCAGUUUUGAAUGGAUCGACGCUCAAGGUAAGGUGAGAUGUGAGAGCAUGACCGAACAACCGUCGGUCUAGGGAAGAGCAUAAAAAGCGCUUGAUUAUAUACAUGUUACACAUAUGUAUAUAUGAAGGCUGCGAAGUGGAGUAAUUACUUUUUGGGAUUCAGUACCCCAUGGAUGUGUAUGGGUAUACAGACAUGGGAAUACUGAGAAGUGUAAUGUACUUGCAACGACACACCUACGCUUAGGUAAGAAGGUAAUGUACCACAAUGGGCUGCCCUGUGGUUAAAGUGUGGCAGCGGCGCCUAUGCGUGGCUCGGCGCUUAAUGAGGAGCUGGCCUCCAUAUAGCAAUAUAUGGAGUAUAAACUGUGAUAAACUGUCAUGUGUGAAUUGCAUCAUUGGGAAUUGGGCUGUAAUGGAUUUUUCUACAGGUACACUAACUUCGAACUCGUAUGUGUAGCUGACGACUAGCAAUAUAUCGAGAGAGACGUAGAUAUGCCACCGAUAUAGAGCGCUAUUGCCAUAUUAAGUUGGCAAAAUUCGUGAGGACGAAUAGGACGAGCAUGCAUCUUGAUUGUUGCAUUGUGUUUGUUGUUUGCGCACAGAAAUGCUUCCCUCACCUUUAUUCUAAUAAUAGGUGAUUGUAAAUGAACAUGCUUUUCUCAUCUUUAUUCUGAUAAUAAAUAACUGAAAACUGUGUGAAGCAUUACUGUCCUAUAAGUAAUUUCUAGCUUUGUUUGAUGUGUCCUUUAGACAUGUUUUUAUGUGGCCUGAGGUUCUUCUUAAUUUGACCGCUAGUCUAACUUGUGUUUGUUCUGGUGUGUUUCUGCUGAUAGAAUGUUGGUGGUAUGUUUGUGUAAACUAAAAAUUUGGACAUGUCCUCAUCUAGGAGCCAUGACCCAAAUCGAUGUUAAUCCCCUGAAAUUUUCCCCAGUUUCCAAAUGCGGACGAGUCUGAAUUUUUCCAUCGUUACUUUGUGAUCAAGGUCAUAUAAAUAGAUGUUUAGGUAAUCCCCUUAUUGGACCUAAGAUGCACUCAAACUUAAAAAAAUAAUAAUCUCGAGUCCCCUGAUCUUAACAGCCAACUUGUAGCUCUUAUGGUCCUAUUUUCAUCCUAAAACAUACCUUUGUUCGGUUGGUGCAAGCUGAUGUACCUUAUCGAGUUUGCCUGUUUUUAUGGACCGCCAUGUGACUUUAUCGACCUAACUUAGGAAAGAUAUGUCCGAUCAUUUUACUGAGUUCGGUGCCUUUGGUUUUCUCAUAUCUAUCAAAGGCAUACCAACUUAAUCCUAUGAUUGUUUUCCCUCCGUAUCUAAUCAGAUAAUAAUCCUUGACCUUGUAAUUUCUGCGAUGGGCAUAGAAAUAUGCUUGGGGAUGAAGUAUCAGUCUCCCAUCGUACUCGCUCACCAAUAAGUUUAGGUCAUGGCCAUGCCUUGUUCAGUUCAUCGGGCCAUGAUCUAUUUGGAUCUCUACUUGUAAUCAUUCUUACAUGUGGAGUAUCUCAUUGUAUAUUGUCACCCUUGCUCAAUCCAUUUGUACCGCAUGAGAUUUCUUAUUGGUUACAUCUAGUAAUGGUGUUAUGACUAAAACCGAUGGUGCUGCGACGAAAUCGAGGGCCUUCUGUGGGUGCGCACACAUGGUUGUGCUACUCGGCACGCGCUGGUAUCACAGUUAGUAGUUGUAAUCCAUUAUGAGACUAUGUCAAUGUGUUAUCUUGGCACAAUCUAUUUUUGCUAUGUGAGAUUGUUAUUGGUGUCAGUUCGGUAGUGGUGUCACGAUUAAGGACUUAUGGUGCCGCAGCGAAACUGAGAGCCUCCUUUGAAUGCGCACACAGGGAUGUGCUACUCGUCGGAUGCUGGUAUCAAGGUCUCUAGUCAUGAUCCAUUGUGGAACUACACUGAUAUGUUGUCUUCCGUAAACUACUUCCUUGAAACAAUUUCUAUGUUGUUUGUGAAGUGAUCAAGCAACAUUUAUCGUCUCUGUUGGAUCAAACGAGCAUACCACUUUCAUAUGUGAUCUCUUUUCUUUUGAUCUUGGUAGUGACUACUCAUACAAGUUCCCUUUAUGUCCUUUUUGUAAAGGUGAAGCCUUGGAGCUUUUUAGUGUGGGAAAACAACUGGUUAGCUCUCAAAAUGGAGAUUGACUUUCCCAGCUGCUGAGAUGCAGGAGUUUGUUCAUUCGCUCUCUUAUUUUAUCCAUGUAUUCCCGAACCAAGUCUGUUCAUUUCGCAUGGAAGAAACGGAUGAACAACCUGACCAAAUGGAUUUCUACCCAAGAGGUUGCAUCUGAUUCUGUUUGGGUAAAAUCGCAUAUCUGUCGCUUGCUCAACAGACUCAGAUAGUACAGUGUCAUCAGAAAAAAAACAAACUGCACACGUGAAACCUUAUGUGUUCUUCUGGCAGACAUCGUCUCUAUUGGUGGACAUCUCUAAAUUAGCGUAAGGCUAUACAUGAUAUGUCCACUAGAGAAACAACAUUCUGAGACACUCGCCUUUGCUUGGAACUGUCUUAUGAUUAUAACUGAUAUGGACAAGAGUUACAUGCCUCUCUACUCUUAGAAGUCUUUCGUUCUGAAUCUCGGGACGAGAUUCUUUUAAGGGGGAAGGUUGUAACACCCCAGGUGUUUGUCUCCCGUUCAACAGCGACUAUGGAUUUAAGCGCGGGAUAUCGGUAAAUAAAUUGGACACUAAUUUUUAAUCAACCUCGUUUAUCACGAUUUUGAUCUCGUGUCUGCCUCCGUCUGUCUAAAUUUUUCCAAAUCCAUUUCUUUUAAAAUUCAGCCUUUGGUAAUCUUUGGAACAUCGAAUCCAGUAUCGUUUGGGUUGAGCCCUCGACGUCUUGCCUAAACUAUAAUUUUUGAAAUCAAAAGUAGCUUCUUAAACUUCAUUUGAAAUUCUUUCACGCUUGCGUUGCACGUGUCUCUCUGUGGCCUGACACCGUGACGCGUGUGGCGGGUGCUAACCGGUGUCUGGACAGCGCCCAGCUUCUCGCCCCGUGAAUGAUGCGUGACGUCGCUUCCGAAAGGAUCACAAUUUCGAUGCUACAUCGAUCCCGCGUAUUUAUUUCGCGAUAUGUCGAGUCUGGUGCCUGUUUAAAAAUUUAUUGAUCAGAUGAAUGUACAACUGAUUUUAACCAAAUCAACCACGUCUGAAAUCUUAUAACCAAUAUUAUUUUGGUUGGUCCAUUUGCAUCUCACUAAAAAUCCCCACUUAAGAACAGAGUUAAAUUUUGUAGUCUUUUGUAAAAGAAAAAUUUGGAGAAACAAAAAAUUUGAAUUCUUAUUCUCUUCCUAGACUGCCACCUCCUCCCCCACGUGGUCUUCCUUCUGGAAUUCUCCCAGCCGACCGAAGCCAGGCUUCAUCUCCUCACGGCGCUCUGCCCUGGCUACCUCCACCAUGCCGUCCUCCCUUGCUUCCCCCACACGGUGUCUCCUUCUCUGAUUGCAGUUGUGGAGCAGCAGCUGCCGUUGUCUUCCCUGGCUUCUCCCAUGGCCGCCUAUCCCCCAUCCCCUCCACCGUGCCCUCUCAUCUCCUAGCCCCUCUGCUCGCCACCAUCCCCUAUACCCUUGCUAGCAGCAUGGCGCUCAUCCCUUCCUGAUGUGAGCUGCACAUGACGUCUCCAGCUCUCCAUUGAUGGCAGCUAGCUGCGCCCUCACUUCCUCCCAUGGUGAGCUCGCCCAUGGUGGCUCCUCCUGCUCGGCGUACUCCCCUCUGCAGGAGCUCGCCCAGCCCCUCUCUGCUAGGAACAGCAGCACCUCCCUCCAUGGAUGCCUAGUUGUUGACUUGUGCAAUUCAUAGUCAUCGGUGAGGUCCCUUUGUCUUAUGCUACUUAUCUCCUUAAUCGAUAUAUGUGGUUUGUGGUUGAUUGUGAGUAUGUGUGUGCUUAUGUGUGAGAUGUGAGGGGAAAUCCCAGGAUUUAGUGGAGAAGAAGCACAGUCCAAUAUGACGCCCGCCGGGUGUUCGACGAAAUGGGAGACCAAGGAACUGUCGUCGUUCUUGCAAGAAAAAUCAAGUCGGAUCAUGAUGUGGUACGUUAUUUGAUCGCACGAUGUGGAGGAAAAGUGUUGGAUUAACCUCAAAGUGAUGCUAACGAAUAAACCAGAGGAAUGGAUGAUCUGAUCAAGUGCCAGGAUGGAAGAUGCUCACCAAGUGGUCAUCAUCUAACAACACUUAGUGUUAUCCCAG